This 468-nucleotide ribosomal RNA is filed under the name uncultured bacterium. RNAcentral describes it as "partial 16S ribosomal RNA". It matches the Rfam family "Bacterial small subunit ribosomal RNA", at positions 28 to 507 of the family's 1533-position model. The record is from RNAcentral.
GACGAACGCUGGCGGCGUGCUUAACACAUGCCAGUCGAACGGAAAGGCCCUGCUUUUGUGGGGUGCUCUAGUGGCGAACGGGUGAGUAACACGUGAGUAACCGGCCCUUUACUUUGGGCUAACUUCAGGAAACUUGGGCUCAUACCGCAUAGGAGCUCCUUCUCCCUGGUGGGGGUUUGAACGUUUCGGCGGUUGGGGAUGAACUCGCGGAUUAUCAGCUUGUUGGUGGGUUGGUGGCUUACCAAAGCUUUGCCGCGUAGCCGGCCUGAGAGGGUCACCGGCCACACUAGUACUGAGCUACGGCCCAGACUCCUACGGGAGGCAGCAGUGGGGAAUAUUGCACAAUGGGCCGAAGCCUGAUGCAGCCACGCCGCGUGCGGAAUGACGGCCGUCGCGUUGUAAACCGCUUUCGCCUGUGACGAAGCGUGAGUGACGGUAAUGGGUAAAGAAGCACCGGCUAACUACGUG